This 185-nucleotide ribosomal RNA is filed under the name uncultured bacterium. RNAcentral describes it as "partial 16S ribosomal RNA". It matches the Rfam family "Bacterial small subunit ribosomal RNA", at positions 1309 to 1500 of the family's 1533-position model. The record is from RNAcentral.
AACCCGACUCCAUGAAGCUGGAUUCGCUAGUAAUCGCGCAUCAGCCACGGCGCGGUGAAUACGUUCCCGGGCCUUGUACACACCGCCCCGUCAAGCCAUGGAAGCCGGGAGUGCCUGAAGUACGCGACCGCAAGGAGCGUCCUAAGGUAAAACCGGUGACUGGGGCUAAGUCGUAACAAGGUAUC